RNAcentral lists this ribosomal RNA (620 nucleotides) under uncultured bacterium. RNAcentral's name for it is "bacterial SSU rRNA". It matches the Rfam family "Bacterial small subunit ribosomal RNA", at positions 338 to 950 of the family's 1533-position model. The record is from RNAcentral.
CCUACGGGAGGCAGCAGUAGGGAAUCUUCCACAAUGGGCGAAAGCCUGAUGGAGCAACGCCGCGUGAGUGAUGAAGGCCUUCGGGUUGUAAAACUCUGUCAUUCGGGACGAACCGGAGUCUGAGGAAAUGCAGACUCUCUGACGGUACCGGAGGAGGAAGCCCCGGCUAACUACGUGCCAGUAGCCGCGGUAAUACGUAGGGGGCAAGCGUUGUCCGGAUUCACUGGGCGUAAAGCGCGCGCAGGCGGUGAUGUAAGUCUGAGGUGAAAACCCGAAGCUCAACUUCGGGACUGCCUUGGAUACUGCGUCACUUGAGGAUAGGAGAGGCAAGGGGAAUUCCACGUGUAGCGGUGAAAUGCGUAGAGAUGUGGAGGAACACCUGUGGCGAAGGCGCCUUGCUGGCCUAUUUCUGACGCUGAGGCGCGAAAGCGUGGGGAGCAAACAGGAUUAGAUACCCUGGUAGUCCACGCUGUAAACGAUGAGUGCUAGGUGUAGGUGGGCUCAUACCCAUCUGUGCCGAAGCUAACGCAUUAAGCACUCCGCCUGGGGAGUACGGUCGCAGACUGAAACUUAAAUGAAUUGACGGCUGAGGAGNGCGAGGCGACGACGAGGGGAGUAGG